GAUGAAGAACGCAGUGAAAUGCGAUAAGUAAUGUGAAUUGCAGAAUUCAGUGAAUCAUCGAAUCUUUGAACGCACAUUGCGCCCCCUGGUAUUCCGGGGGGCAUGCCUGUUCGAGCGUCAUUUCACCACUCAAGCCUCGCUUGGUAUUGGGCAUCGCGGUCCGCCGCGUGCCUCAAAUCGACCGGCUGGGUCUUCUGUCCCCUAAGCGUUGUGGAAACUAUUCGCUAAAGGGUGUUCGGGAGGCUACGCCGUAAAACAACCCCAUUUCUAAGGUUGACCUCGGAUCAGGUAGGGAUACCCGCUGAACUUAAGCAUAUCAAUAAACGGAGGA
This 331-nucleotide unclassified non-coding RNA is filed under the name soil metagenome. RNAcentral's name for it is "partial contains 5.8S ribosomal RNA, internal transcribed spacer 2, and large subunit ribosomal RNA". The stretch from base 1 to 120 matches the Rfam family "5.8S ribosomal RNA", at positions 35 to 154 of the family's 154-position model. The record is from RNAcentral.